CGGCGUGCCUAAUACAUGCAAGUCGAGCGAACGGACGAGAAGCUUGCUUCUCUGAUGUUAGCGGCGGACGGGUGAGUAACACGUGGAUAACCUACCUAUAAGACUGGGAUAACUUCGGGAAACCGGAGCUAAUACCGGAUAAUAUUUUGAACCGCAUGGUUCAAAAGUGAAAGACGGUCUUGCUGUCGCUUAUAGAUGGAUCCGCGCUGCAUUAGCUAGUUGGUAAGGUAACGGCUUACCAAGGCAACGAUGCAUAGCCGACCUGAGAGGGUGAUCGGCCACACUGGAACUGAGACACGGUCCAGACUCCUACGGGAGGCAGCAGUAGGGAAUCUUCCGCAAUGGGCGAAAGCCUGACGGAGCAACGCCGCGUGAGUGAUGAGGGUCUUCGGAUCGUAAAACUCUGUUAUUAGGGAAGAACAUAUGUGUAAGUAACUGUGCACAUCUUGACGGUACCUAAUCAGAAAGCCACGGCUGACUACGUGCCAGCAGCCGCGGUAAUACGUAGGUGGCAAGCGUUAUCCGGAAUUAUUGGGCGUAAAGCGCGCGUAGGCGGUUUUUUAAGUCUGAUGUGAAAGCCCACGGCUCAACCGUGGAGGGUCAUUGGAAACUGGAAAACUUGAGUGCAGAAGAGGAAAGUGGAAUUCCAUGUGUAGCGGUGAAAUGCGCAGAGAUAUGGAGGAACACCAGUGGCGAAGGCGACUUUCUGGUCUGUAACUGACGCUGAUGUGCGAAAGCG
Molecule: ribosomal RNA, 739 nt
Filed under: uncultured Staphylococcus sp.
Lineage: Bacteria; Bacillati; Bacillota; Bacilli; Caryophanales; Staphylococcaceae
Description: bacterial SSU rRNA
Rfam family: Bacterial small subunit ribosomal RNA
Source: RNAcentral